This 253-nucleotide ribosomal RNA is filed under the name uncultured bacterium. RNAcentral's name for it is "partial 16S ribosomal RNA". It matches the Rfam family "Bacterial small subunit ribosomal RNA", at positions 524 to 776 of the family's 1533-position model. The record is from RNAcentral.
UACGUAGGGGGCGAGCGUUAAUCGGAAUUACUGGGCGUAAAGCGUGCGCAGGCGGUUUUGUAAGCCAGAUGUGAAAUCCCCGGGCUCAACCUGGGAAUGGCAUUUGGGACUGCAAGGCUCGAGUGCGGCAGAGGAGACUGGAAUUCCUGGUGUAGCAGUGAAAUGCGUAGAUAUCAGGAGGAAUACCUAUGGCGAAGGCAGGUCUCUGGGCUGACACUGACGCUCAUGCACGAAAGCGUGGGGAGCAAACAGG